GACAGAGGCCUCGAGCGUUAGGCGGAAUCACUGGGCUUAAAGCGUGUGUAGGCGGGCCCGUAAGUGUCUUGUGAAAUCCCACGGCUCAACCGUGGAACUGCUGGGCAUACUGCGAGUCUUGGGCCAACUAGGGGCAGCCGGAACAAGCGGUGGAGCGGUGAAAUGCGUAGAUAUCGCUUGGAACGCCGAAGGUGAAAACAGGCUGCUGGGGUUGCGCCGACGCUGAGACACGAAAGCCAGGGGAGCAAACGGG
This 253-nucleotide ribosomal RNA is filed under the name uncultured bacterium. Its description in RNAcentral is "partial 16S ribosomal RNA". It matches the Rfam family "Bacterial small subunit ribosomal RNA", at positions 524 to 776 of the family's 1533-position model. The record is from RNAcentral.